UCUCUCGGUGACAGAAUUCUUUCAUUUGUACGGCAAUGCAUUUGUUAAGGCACUGUCCGAUCUCGGCAUGAAGAUGGACAACCUUAAAGAAUGUUGGAUUGAGAAAUGCCAUCAAUUGGAGUAUCUGGUUGUCAGAAGAACGGCAGACAUUGAUGCAGUGGUCUGUUUAGAGAAUCUAAGGGUGUCCGAUCUUGCCAAAUUAAGAACAGUGUGCCGGGGGGAGUUGGGAAGAGGGAGCUUCGCAUGUCUAAAGAAUAUAUAUUUGGAAUGUUGUCCGAAGCUCAUCAACUUCUUCUCUUCAAGCAUUCGGUUACAGAAUCUCAAAUUACUUGAAAUAAAAUUCUGUUGUAGACUGGAGAAGGUUUUUGAAGAAGACAAUGUGGCAGGGCAAAAUGCAUUUCCACGGCUAGUUGAUUUACGUCUUUGGGAGCUACGCAAGCUAAAAAGCAUUUGUGGUGGGCACUUGCCGAUGCUGGAGAAGUUGAAGAUUCGAGGAUGCCCGAUGCUGGAGAAGCUUCCGUUCAAUAACACAAAUGAUUCUACAACAGAAGUCGAGAUCCAAGGUGAGCUUAAAUGGUGGGAAAGCAUAAAAUGGGAGGGCAGCAUCAAGCCAUGCAACAUCCAUUUCAAAGAAAGGCGUCCAUAACCAAGGUGGUUGCUAUUGCUAUGCCUGUUUGCUUCAGUCGCUGCAUGUGCUCCUGGUUUUGCAGGACAUGUCUUUAUCCUUCAACCUCCCUGCGCGCUUUCUUGAAGACUAUGCAAUUUUGUCUGUGCCUCCACCUCCGAUUUUUGCAAAGUCAUUAUUAUGAUUGGGAAGGAGGGCGGUAAAGGUUAUUGGAAAGGCAAUCUACCAC
This is a long non-coding RNA of Magnolia sinica, 854 nucleotides long. RefSeq lists it as uncharacterized. The transcript is spliced from 2 exons. The record is from RefSeq and is a predicted model, not a curated record. NCBI's taxonomy places the organism in Eukaryota, Viridiplantae, Streptophyta, Magnoliopsida, Magnoliales, Magnoliaceae.